UGCGCAAUGGCAUGGCGAAGUCUGACGCAGCAACGCCGCGUGAUCGAUGAAGCUUCUAGGAGUGUAAAGGUCUGUCGUGAGGGAAGAAAAACUUGGAUGUAAAUAAUGUUCGGGCGUGACGGUACCUCACAAGAAAGCACCGGCUAACUUAGUGCCAGCAGCCGCGGUAAUACUAGGGGUGCUAGCGUUGUCCGGAAUCACUGGGCGUAAAGGGUCCGUAGGCGUUUUGCUAAGUUGAUUGUUAAAUCCAUCGGCUCAACCGAUGAUCUGCAAUCAAAACUGGUAGAAUAGAGUUCGAGAGAGGAAAGUGGAAUUCCUGGUGUAGCGGUGACAUGCGUAGAUAUCAGGAGGAACACCAAUGGCGAAGGCAGCUUUCUGGCUCGAUACUGACGCUGAGGGACGAAAGCGUGGGGAGCGAACAGGAUUAGAUACCCUGGUAGUCCACGCCGUAAACGAUGAGUACUUGAUGAUGGAGGAUUCGACCCCUUCGCUGUCGUAGCUAACGCGAUAAGUACUCCGCCUGGGGACUACGACCGCAAGGUUG
Molecule: ribosomal RNA, 544 nt
Filed under: uncultured Fibrobacterota bacterium
Lineage: Bacteria; Pseudomonadati; Fibrobacterota
Description: bacterial SSU rRNA
Rfam family: Bacterial small subunit ribosomal RNA
Source: RNAcentral